RNAcentral lists this ribosomal RNA (253 nucleotides) under uncultured bacterium. RNAcentral describes it as "partial 16S ribosomal RNA". It matches the Rfam family "Bacterial small subunit ribosomal RNA", at positions 524 to 776 of the family's 1533-position model. The record is from RNAcentral.
UACGUAGGGGGCAAGCGUUGUCCGGAAUCAUUGGGCGUAAAGAGCGUGUAGGCGGCCCGGUAAGUCCGCUGUGAAAGUCCAGGGCUCAACCCUGGGAUGCCGGUGGAUACUGUCGGGCUCGAGUCCGGAAGAGGAGUGUGGAAUUCCUGGUGUAGCGGUGAAAUGCGCAGAUAUCAGGAGGAACACCAAUGGCGAAGGCGGCUCACUGGACCGGUACUGACGCUGAUGCGCGAAAGCUAGGGGAGCAAACGGG